GCAGCUCAGUUGGUAGAGCAUGAGACUCUCAACCUCAGAAUCAUGGGUUCAAGACCCACACUG
RNAcentral lists this transfer RNA (63 nucleotides) under Podarcis lilfordi (Lilford's wall lizard). Its description in RNAcentral is "tRNA.Glu". It matches the Rfam family "tRNA", at positions 9 to 63 of the family's 71-position model. Rfam says of the family: Transfer RNA (tRNA) molecules are approximately 80 nucleotides in length. Their secondary structure includes four short double-helical elements and three loops (D, anti-codon, and T loops). The record is from RNAcentral. Lineage: Eukaryota; Metazoa; Chordata; Lepidosauria; Squamata; Lacertidae.